GGUUAAGUGACUAAGCGUACACGGUGGAUGCCCUGGCAGUCAGAGGCGAUGAAGGACGUGCUAAUCUGCGAUAAGCGUCGGUAAGGUGAUAUGAACCGUUAUAACCGGCGAUUUCCGAAUGGGGAAACCCAGUGUGAUUCGUCACACUAUCAUUAACUGAAUCCAUAGGUUAAUGAGGCGAACCGGGGGAACUGAAACAUCUAAGUACCCCGAGGAAAAGAAAUCAACCGAGAUUCCCCCAGUAGCGGCGAGCGAACGGGGAGGAGCCCAGAGCCUGAAUCAGUGUGUGUGUUAGUGGAAGCGUCUGGAAAGGCGCGCGAUACAGGGUGACAGCCCCGUACACAAAAAUGCACAUGCUGUGAGCUCGAUGAGUAGGGCGGGACACGUGGUAUCCUGUCUGAAUAUGGGGGGACCAUCCUCCAAGGCUAAAUACUCCUGACUGACCGAUAGUGAACCAGUACCGUGAGGGAAAGGCGAAAAGAACCCCGGCGAGGGGAGUGAAAAAGAACCUGAAACCGUGUACGUACAAGCAGUGGGAGCACAGAGCAAUCUGUGUGACUGCGUACCUUUUGUAUAAUGGGUCAGCGACUUAUAUUCUGUAGCAAGGUUAACCGAAUAGGGGAGCCGAAGGGAAACCGAGUCUUAACUGGGCGUUAAGUUGCAGGGUAUAGACCCGAAACCCGGUGAUCUAGCCAUGGGCAGGUUGAAGGUUGGGUAACACUAACUGGAGGACCGAACCGACUAAUGUUGAAAAAUUAGCGGAUGACUUGUGGCUGGGGGUGAAAGGCCAAUCAAACCGGGAGAUAGCUGGUUCUCCCCGAAAGCUAUUUAGGUAGCGCCUCGUGAAUUCAUCUCCGGGGGUAGAGCACUGUUUCGGCAAGGGGGUCAUCCCGACUUACCAACCCGAUGCAAACUGCGAAUACCGGAGAAUGUUAUCACGGGAGACACACGGCGGGUGCUAACGUCCGUCGUGAAGAGGGAAACAACCCAGACCGCCAGCUAAGGUCCCAAAGUCAUGGUUAAGUGGGAAACGAUGUGGGAAGGCCCAGACAGCCAGGAUGUUGGCUUAGAAGCAGCCAUCAUUUAAAGAAAGCGUAAUAGCUCACUGGUCGAGUCGGCCUGCGCGGAAGAUGUAACGGGGCUAAACCAUGCACCGAAGCUGCGGCAGCGACACUAUGUGUUGUUGGGUAGGGGAGCGUUCUGUAAGCCUGUGAAGGUGUGCUGUGAGGCAUGCUGGAGGUAUCAGAAGUGCGAAUGCUGACAUAAGUAACGAUAAAGCGGGUGAAAAGCCCGCUCGCCGGAAGACCAAGGGUUCCUGUCCAACGUUAAUCGGGGCAGGGUGAGUCGACCCCUAAGGCGAGGCCGAAAGGCGUAGUCGAUGGGAAACAGGUUAAUAUUCCUGUACUUGGUGUUACUGCGAAGGGGGGACGGAGAAGGCUAUGUUGGCCGGGCGACGGUUGUCCCGGUUUAAGCGUGUAGGCUGGUUUUCCAGGCAAAUCCGGAAAAUCAAGGCUGAGGCGUGAUGACGAGGCACUACGGUGCUGAAGCAACAAAUGCCCUGCUUCCAGGAAAAGCCUCUAAGCAUCAGGUAACAUCAAAUCGUACCCCAAACCGACACAGGUGGUCAGGUAGAGAAUACCAAGGCGCUUGAGAGAACUCGGGUGAAGGAACUAGGCAAAAUGGUGCCGUAACUUCGGGAGAAGGCACGCUGAUAUGUAGGUGAAGCGACUUGCUCGUGGAGCUGAAAUCAGUCGAAGAUACCAGCUGGCUGCAACUGUUUAUUAAAAACACAGCACUGUGCAAACACGAAAGUGGACGUAUACGGUGUGACGCCUGCCCGGUGCCGGAAGGUUAAUUGAUGGGGUCAGCGCAAGCGAAGCUCUUGAUCGAAGCCCCGGUAAACGGCGGCCGUAACUAUAACGGUCCUAAGGUAGCGAAAUUCCUUGUCGGGUAAGUUCCGACCUGCACGAAUGGCGUAAUGAUGGCCAGGCUGUCUCCACCCGAGACUCAGUGAAAUUGAACUCGCUGUGAAGAUGCAGUGUACCCGCGGCAAGACGGAAAGACCCCGUGAACCUUUACUAUAGCUUGACACUGAACAUUGAGCCUUGAUGUGUAGGAUAGGUGGGAGGCUUUGAAGUGUGGACGCCAGUCUGCAUGGAGCCGACCUUGAAAUACCACCCUUUAAUGUUUGAUGUUCUAACGUUGACCCGUAAUCCGGGUUGCGGACAGUGUCUGGUGGGUAGUUUGACUGGGGCGGUCUCCUCCUAAAGAGUAACGGAGGAGCACGAAGGUUGGCUAAUCCUGGUCGGACAUCAGGAGGUUAGUGCAAUGGCAUAAGCCAGCUUGACUGCGAGCGUGACGGCGCGAGCAGGUGCGAAAGCAGGUCAUAGUGAUCCGGUGGUUCUGAAUGGAAGGGCCAUCGCUCAACGGAUAAAAGGUACUCCGGGGAUAACAGGCUGAUACCGCCCAAGAGUUCAUAUCGACGGCGGUGUUUGGCACCUCGAUGUCGGCUCAUCACAUCCUGGGGCUGAAGUAGGUCCCAAGGGUAUGGCUGUUCGCCAUUUAAAGUGGUACGCGAGCUGGGUUUAGAACGUCGUGAGACAG
This 2604-nucleotide ribosomal RNA is filed under the name Escherichia coli. Its description in RNAcentral is "partial 23S ribosomal RNA". It matches the Rfam family "Bacterial large subunit ribosomal RNA", at positions 1 to 2629 of the family's 2925-position model. The record is from RNAcentral. Lineage: Bacteria; Pseudomonadati; Pseudomonadota; Gammaproteobacteria; Enterobacterales; Enterobacteriaceae.